This 900-nucleotide long non-coding RNA is filed under the name Mus musculus (house mouse). Its description in RNAcentral is "Hand2, opposite strand 1". The record is from RNAcentral. Lineage: Eukaryota; Metazoa; Chordata; Mammalia; Rodentia; Muridae.
GCCGAGGUCCUCUUCUAGGAUUGGUUGUCCACUCAUAACCAUAAGAUAAUUAAAACGGGGGGGGGCAGGGUAAAAAAAAAACCCUUUUAUCAGCCAUAGGUUAAUGCAAGUGUUUAACAGAUGCUUCGCUAUUAAAAUAUUUCCCCCCAAUACUGAAGAAUCUUAAACCAGAAGGCACAGUUCAUUCUCGAGCAAUUCGUCACCUCCUGGGGGUCUUCUCUUCCCGUCUACAGGAGAGUGUGACUUCAGAAAGAACUUCGGAUUGGCCAAGGCCAUUAAAGCUGGUGAGCGACUUGGAAGUCAUUUAGAAAGGAACAGACCUUCAACCUCAAGCCUUUGCGGGCACUGGGAAAGUGUCUUCCCAAUCAAUCUGGCUUGCAGGCGGCAGGACCAACUCUGACCUGGCUUAUCUUGUACCCAUCCUAAAUACACCAAACUCAAGAGGUAGCCAGGGCCGCCUCAACACCGAGGCAGGUCUGAUUCUAUUUAUUCUAAAGACAGAGUUGGAGAUGGGCUACCAUUGGUGUUGAUUGAGAUGACAAGCAGUCACCUGAGCCCAUACAGCUGGGUUCACAGAUGUGGCUAGUCUUGCUAGCCAGCUCGCACUGUGGACAUUCUAGGGAACUGACUGCAGUCCUCAUGCUUGGAGUCAAACACUUUAACCACUGCACACGUUUAUGUAAUAGGAUUGACAUAUGAGAAUCAGAGAAAUGAAUGAAAGAUUAGAGUGGGAGAAAGUGCUUGCUGCCAAGCUUGAUGACCUAAAUUGAAUACCUGGAACCUACACGACAGAAAGAGAGAGCUGACUGCUGAAAGAUGUCCUCAGAUCUUCACAUGUGCACAGUGGCACCUAUCCAACCAUGCACAUAGUAUAUUAAAAAUUAUUUUUUAAAAAAUCCA